GACGAACGCUGGCGGCGUGCUUAACACAUGCAAGUCGAACGGAAAGGCCCUGCUUUUGUGGGGUGCUCGAGUGGCGCGCGGGUGAGUAACACGUGAGUAACCUGCCCUUGACUUUGGGAUAACUUCAGGAAACUGGGGCUAAUACCGGAUAGGAGCUCCUGCUGCAUGGUGGGGGUUGGAAAGUUUCGGCGGUUUGGGAUGGACUCGCGGCUUAUCAGCUUGUUGGUGGGGUAGUGGCUUACCAAGGCUUUGACGGGUAGCCGGCCUGAGAGGGUGACCGGCCACAUUGGGACUGAGAUACGGCCCAGACUCCUACGGGAGGCAGCAGUGGGGAAUAUUGCACAAUGGGCGGAAGCCUGAUGCAGCAACGCCGCGUGCGGGAUGACGGCCUUCGGGUUGUAAACCGCUUUCGCCGGUGACGAAGCGUGAGUGACGGUAAUGGGUAAAGAAGCACCGGCUAACUACGUG
RNAcentral lists this ribosomal RNA (468 nucleotides) under uncultured bacterium. RNAcentral describes it as "partial 16S ribosomal RNA". It matches the Rfam family "Bacterial small subunit ribosomal RNA", at positions 28 to 507 of the family's 1533-position model. The record is from RNAcentral.